GGGCCUGUAGCUCAGCCUGGUUUAGAGCAACGGUCUUAUAAGCCGUAGGUCCUGGGUUCAAAUCCCAGCAGGCCCA
This 76-nucleotide transfer RNA is filed under the name Candidatus Pacearchaeota archaeon. RNAcentral describes it as "tRNA-Ile". It matches the Rfam family "tRNA". Rfam says of the family: Transfer RNA (tRNA) molecules are approximately 80 nucleotides in length. Lineage: Archaea; Nanobdellati. The record is from RNAcentral.